CUGAUUGUCCACUUUUCUUACAGAUCUUUCCGCUACAGUAAUGUACAAGAUCACCAAGGACAUGUGUGGGUUGAAUGCUGUCAACCAACCUUGAUGAUGUGGAAGUAACGUGCUUCGAGACUGGUCUGGGACUUAUUUAGAGUUCUUUGACAUUGAUUUAUAGUAGAAAUAUUCUCAUAUUCUAUUAACAAAUUAGUCUGAACAAUUAUACCCAAUUAUACCAAUUUGCUUAAAUCAGGGACUGUAUUUUAUCAUCGAAGAUGUUAAAGUUAUCCUGAAAGUACUGUGAGUUUUUGAAUGAUUUGAAAGAAAACUUUGUGAAGCAUUAGAAAAAGUGUAGUUAGUGUAGUCGCAAAGUAGAAUUAAAGUUUUAGCCUUGG
Long non-coding RNA from Stylophora pistillata, 380 nucleotides. Lineage: Eukaryota; Metazoa; Cnidaria; Anthozoa; Scleractinia; Pocilloporidae. The record is from RefSeq and is a predicted model, not a curated record.